GUGCACGAGGACACGCUGGCGGCGUGCCUAAUACAUGCAAGUCGAGCGGGCUUGUCCUUCGGGACAAGCUAGCGGCGGACGGGUGAGUAACACGUAGGUAACCUGCCUUUAAGACUGGGAUAACUAUCGGAAACGAUAGCUAAGACCGGAUAACUGGUUUUCUCGCAUGAGAGAAUCAUAAAACACGGAGCAAUCUGUGGCUUAAAGAUGGGCCUGCGGCGCAUUAGCUAGUUGGUGAGGUAACGGCUCACCAAGGCGACGAUGCGUAGCCGACCUGAGAGGGUGAACGGCCACACUGGGACUGAGACACGGCCCAGACUCCUACGGGAGGCAGCAGUAGGGAAUCUUCCGCAAUGGACGCAAGUCUGACGGAGCAACGCCGCGUGAGUGAUGAAGGUUUUCGGAUCGUAAAGCUCUGUUGCCCUAGACGAACAGCAUCAGGAGUAACUGCCUGGUGUGUGACGGUAUAGGAGAAGAAAGCCCCGGCUAACUACGUG
This 497-nucleotide ribosomal RNA is filed under the name uncultured Paenibacillus sp. RNAcentral's name for it is "bacterial SSU rRNA". It matches the Rfam family "Bacterial small subunit ribosomal RNA", at positions 33 to 507 of the family's 1533-position model. The record is from RNAcentral. Lineage: Bacteria; Bacillati; Bacillota; Bacilli; Caryophanales; Paenibacillaceae.